Long non-coding RNA from Mugil cephalus (flathead mullet), 377 nucleotides. RefSeq lists it as uncharacterized. The transcript is spliced from 3 exons. Lineage: Eukaryota; Metazoa; Chordata; Actinopteri; Mugiliformes; Mugilidae. The record is from RefSeq and is a predicted model, not a curated record.
UACCUGUCAUUAAAGGCGAACGGUGUCGGGGGUCGUGUAAAGUUAAACUUCCGCCCGUCUUAAAUGACCACAGUUACGUAACUGUGCAGUCAUUGAGAAGUUAUGAUCUUUACUUCCAUUACGGACGGGGCUUAGAAGACAGAUGACCAAGAGCCUGUCCUCGGAUCCUUGGAUGACUUGGAUGUUGUAUUUUGAUGUCUCCUGCCAUCCAUGGCCCACGUCUCCCCUUGAUGACCUUUUAGAGACUCGCUUUGAACAAAGAGCGUGAAAACCUCCUGUGUGCCAGAGAGUAGCGGGGCACUGUGCAUCAAAAUAUCAGCGCAGGUUGAAAGGCACAAAAUAAGGUCAGUGUCACCGCAUUGCAUUAUUAAUAUCCC